AUUGAACGCUGGCGGCAUGCCUAACACAUGCAAGUCGAGCGCGCGGCGGACGGGGGAGUAAGGUAUGGGGAUCUGCUCGAUAGAGGGGGCUAACUACUGGAAACGGUGGCUAAUACCGCAUACUAUCGGCUGAACCCAUAUGGGAUUAGCUAGUAGGUGGGGUAAAGGCUGACCAAGGCGACGAUCUCUAGCUGGUCUGAGAGGAUGAACGGCCACACUGGAACUGAGACACGGCCCAGACUCCUACGGGAGGCAGCAGUGGGGAAUAUUGCACAAUGGGCGCAAGCCUGAUGCAGCCAUGCCGCGUGUGUGAAGAAGGCCUUAGGAUCGUAAAGUACUUUCAGCGGGGAGGCGUUACCCACACAAGAAGCACCGGCUAACUCCGUGCCAGCCGCCGCGGUAAUUC
Molecule: ribosomal RNA, 406 nt
Filed under: uncultured bacterium
Lineage: Bacteria
Description: partial 16S ribosomal RNA
Rfam family: Bacterial small subunit ribosomal RNA
Source: RNAcentral